Molecule: ribosomal RNA, 384 nt
Filed under: marine copepod environmental sample
Lineage: Eukaryota; Metazoa; Arthropoda; Copepoda
Description: partial small subunit ribosomal RNA
Rfam family: Eukaryotic small subunit ribosomal RNA
Source: RNAcentral
AGCUCCAAUAGCGUAUAUUAAAGUUGUUGCGGUUAAAAAGCUCGUAGUUGGAUCUCGGCAGCCAGGGGGCGGUUCGCUCCAAAGCGUGACUGCCCCAUUUGGCUGUGUGAUUGGCGGAGGUUCCGGGGUGCUCUUCGUUGAGUGUCCCGGUGCGCCGUCAGGUUUACUUUGAAAAAAUUAGAGUGCUCAAAGCAGGCUUUUCAGGCUUGAAUAUUCGUGCAUGGAAUAAUGAAUAGGAACUCGUUCCCAUUUUUUUUGUUUUCGGGGAUCCAGUUAAAUAUUUAAAGGGACCAAUGGGGGCAUUAGUAUUCAAACGACAGAGGUGAAAUUCUUGGACCGUUUGAAGACUAACUACUGCGAAAGCAUUUGCCAAGAGUGUUUUCA